RNAcentral lists this ribosomal RNA (430 nucleotides) under uncultured beta proteobacterium. RNAcentral's name for it is "bacterial SSU rRNA". It matches the Rfam family "Bacterial small subunit ribosomal RNA", at positions 274 to 694 of the family's 1533-position model. The record is from RNAcentral. Lineage: Bacteria; Pseudomonadati; Pseudomonadota; Betaproteobacteria.
CGACGAUCAGUAGAUGGUCUGAGAGGACGAUCAGCCACACUGGGAGUGAGACACGGCCCAGACUCCUACGGGAGGCAGCAGUGUGGAAUUUUGGACAAUGGGGGAAACCCUGAUCCAGCAAUGCCGCGUGUGAGAAGAGGGCCUUCGGGUUGUAAAGCACUCUUGUCAGGGAAGAAAUCCUUUGGGCUAAUACCAUAGGGGGAUGACGGUACGUGAAGAAUAAGCACCGGCUAACUACGUGCCAGCAGCCGCGGUAAUACGUAGGGUGCAAGCGUUAAUCGGAAUUACUGGGCGUAAAGCGUGUCGCAGGCGGUUGUGUAAGAUCAGGUGUGAAAUCCCCGGGCUUAACUUGGGAAUUGCAUUUGUGACUGCACGACUAGAGUGUGUCAGAGGGGGGUGGAAUUCCACGUGUAGCAGUGAAAUGCGUAGA